CUGCCCGUAGCUCAGCUGGAUAGAGCAUCUGCCUUCUAAGCAGGGGGUCACAGGUUCGAAUCCUGUCGGGCAGGCCA
Molecule: transfer RNA, 77 nt
Filed under: Fidelibacterota bacterium
Lineage: Bacteria; Pseudomonadati; Fidelibacterota
Also listed under: 2 other names
Description: tRNA-Arg
Rfam family: tRNA
About the family: Transfer RNA (tRNA) molecules are approximately 80 nucleotides in length. Their secondary structure includes four short double-helical elements and three loops (D, anti-codon, and T loops).
Source: RNAcentral